Molecule: long non-coding RNA, 765 nt
Filed under: Daucus carota (carrot)
Lineage: Eukaryota; Viridiplantae; Streptophyta; Magnoliopsida; Apiales; Apiaceae
Description: long non-coding RNA (DCAR_LNC006941)
Source: RNAcentral
CAAUAUAAUCCCAUGAUGAAUGCCUGGCUGCCUUAUAAUUCAUUGACUAAAUCUCCAAAUAAUUUUAUUAGUAAGCAGAAACACAUGCACAUAGUGACCAUCAACAGAAAUUUUAAAAUUCAGCAUCUAUGAAAAUGAUUUACUUCCAAAAAUGAAUAACAGUGAAGUCCAUAAAAUAUAACCUUCAUCCUCUUUCCAAAAAGGAUGUUAUGUAGUAGCUGCAGGUUAUCAUCAGGUUUUAUCUUUGACAGCUUGAAGGCCACUGCAAAAAUUAAAAAUAUCAAAUUAAACGAUACUCAAAUCUUCUCACACAAUCUCAGAGAAUUUUAUGCCCAACAUAAACGAUGAUAAAAGCUUAAGAACAGAUGUUCAUAGACCAAUCAUUUGGACACCUAUCUUGCAUGAGUAGAAGACAGCAAAUAACAUACAUACAUACAUGCAAAUUACCAGAACUAGACAACUAGUUAUCUACAUCAUUAGAAAAACAAGAUAUGCAAAUUGUGCCGUUGUGUUUAACAACAAUAGCAAAAACAUGAUACUGUAUUGGCACUACGGAUACACUUUCUGUAUAGCCUGAUACCAGGAAUAGACGUUAAUCAAGUUGUAUAAAACAUCUACAGAACUCGAGGAGAAACAAUCAGCUUACAUAAAUCAUCUAUCAAACUCAAGGUCAAGCAAUCAGAAAAUGAGAUAGCAGAGUUGAAACAAUGAAAUUAAGAUACAAAGCCAUGCAUAAAGAUUGUAAUAUACAUUUAGCAAAAAAAA